Molecule: ribosomal RNA, 264 nt
Filed under: uncultured bacterium
Lineage: Bacteria
Description: partial 16S ribosomal RNA
Rfam family: Bacterial small subunit ribosomal RNA
Source: RNAcentral
ACAGAGGGCAGCCAAGUCGUGAGGCGGAGCUAAUCCCUUAAAGCCAUUNUCAGUUCGGAUUGUAGGCUGAAACUCGCCUACAUGAAGCUGGAGUUACUAGUAAUCGCAGAUCAGAAUGCUGCGGUGAAUGCGUUCCCGGGUCUUGUACACACCGCCCGUCACACCACGGAAGUUGGGGGCGCCCGAAGCCACUUAGCUAACCCUUUUGGGAAGCGAGUGUCGAAGGUGAAAUCAAUAACUGGGGUGAAGUCGUAACAAGGUACC